RNAcentral lists this long non-coding RNA (6750 nucleotides) under Sus scrofa (pig). RNAcentral describes it as "lncRNA (ENSSSCG00055025191.1)". The record is from RNAcentral. Lineage: Eukaryota; Metazoa; Chordata; Mammalia; Artiodactyla; Suidae.
UUUUUUUUUUUUUUUUUUUUUUUUUGGUCUUUUUGCCAUUUCUUAGGCCGCUCCCACAGCAUAUGGAGGUUCCCAGGCUAGGGGUCUAAUUGGAGCUGUAGCCACUGGUCUACGCCAGAGCCACAGCAAUGCCAGAUCCGAGCCACAUCUGAGACCUACUCCACAGCUCAUGGCAACGCCAGAUCGUAACCCACUGAGUAGGGCCAGGGAUUGAACCCGCAACCUCAUGGUUCCUAGUCAGAUUUGUUAACCACUGAGCCACGACGGGAACUCCUGAUCUAUUUGUCUCAUCUUUGCACUAAUACCACACUAUCUUGGUAUCUGUAGCUUUGUAACAAACACUGAAGUCAGGUGAUGCUGCUCCAGCUUUUUUUUUUAAAAUUUAUUUUAUUUUUUUAUUACUCAAAUGAAUUUAUCACAUUUGUAGUUGUAUAAUGAUCAUCACAAUCUAAUUUCACAGGAUUUUCAUUCCACAGCCCAAGCACAUCCCCCCAUCCCCCAAACUGUCUCCAUAAGUUUUUCAAUGUCUGUGAGUCAGCAUCUGUUCUGCAAAGACGUUCAGUCUGUCUGAAAAAAGUCUGUCCUUUUUUUCAGAUUCCACAUGUCAAUGAAAGCAUUUGAUGUUGGUGUCUCAUUGUAUGGCUGACUUCACUUAGCAUGAUAAUUUCUAGGUCCAUCCAUGUUGCAAAAAAUGCUGGUAUUUCGUUCUUUUUAAUGGCUGAGUAAUAUUCCAUUGUGUAUAUGUACCCCAUCGUCUGAUCCUCUCCUCUGUCAGUGGACAUUUAGGUUGUUUUAGCUAUUGUAAAUAGUGCUGCAAUGAACAUCGGAGUACAUGUGUCUUUGUGAGUCAUGGUUUUCUCUGGAUAGAUGCCCAGGAGUGGGAUUGUCCAGCUUUUUUCUAAAGUUGUUUGUCUACUCUAUGUCCUUUGCAUUUCCAUAUGAAUUGAGUCUUUCCUCAUUAUGUGUGAUGACAGGUUUUUCAUAGAGGCCCUUUAUCUAAUUAAGAGUUCCUUUCUAUUUUGAGUGUGCUCAGAGUUUUUAUAAGAAAGAUGUUGGAUCUUGUUCAAACAUUUUUCUCUGCAUUUAUUGAGAUGAUCAUGUGGUCUUUCAUUUUAGUUUGUUAUAUGGUGAAUUAUAUUUGUAAAACAUUGAUUGAUUCUUGAAUAUUGGAUUAACCUAAUAUUCUUACAAUUAACUCCCCCCCCCCUUAGUCAUGAGGCAUUAUUCAUUUUAAACAGGCAGUUGUCUUUUAAAGAGUUAAAUGAGAAGAAAAUAAAAUCUAACCAAUAUAGUUAUCAUUUCCACUGGGUCUUCAAACCUUUGGUUUGGAUCCAUAUUUUUGUUUGGCAUCAUUUCCAGUCCCUUCCCUCCUCAUACUUACCUUUCUGAAGAACUUUAUCAAUUUUAUAGUAUGGAACUGCUGAUGAGAAGGUCUUACCACUUUUAUAUGCCUCAAUAUCUUUAUUUCAUUCACAUUUUUGAAAGAUACUUUCACAGGUAUAGAUGAUUGUUUUCUUUCAGAACUUUAAAGAUGUUGCUUUAUUUUUGGCUAACUUUUAUUGUUUCUAACAAAACUAGGCCAUCUUGCUUACUUUUGUUCCUUUGACUAUAAACUGUCAUUUUUCUUUGGUUUUAAGAUUUUCUCUUUAACACUGGUUUUCAGAAAUGUAAUUUUUUUUUCUUUUUAGGUCUGCACUUGCAGCAUAUGAAAGUUCCCAGGCUAGGAUUUGAACUGGAGCUGCAGCUGCUGGCCUGUGGAUAGCCACAUCCAUACCAGAUUGGAGCUGCAUGGCAACUCCAGAUCCUUAACCCACUGAGCAAGGCCAAGGGUUGAACCCACAUCCUCAUGGAUGCUAGUCAUGGCAGUGCCCCAACAAGAACUCCCAGAAAUUUGAUUUAUUAUGUUAUUUAUAGCUGUAUUUGUGUUUCUCGUGCUUGUACAAGGGGUUGGUUGAACUUGGGUCUGUUUAUAAUUUUUAUCAAAUUUUGAAAAAUUGCAGCUAUGAUUUAUUCCCAUAUUUUUCUGUUUCUCCCUUUCUUUUCUCCCCUUUGGAGACUCUAAUUAUAUGUGUAACAGGCAACUUGAUGUUCUCUUCCAGUUCAGUGAUGCUCUGUUUAUAUUUGAGUCUGUCUUCUCCUUGUGUUUUAUUUUGGGUAGCUUCUCUUUCUGUAUCUUUAUAAAUUCACUAAUCUUUUCCCUGUAAUUUAAUAUGCUUUAAAUCCCAUUUAGUUUAUUCUUUAUCACAAUAUUGUAAAUUUCAUCUUUAGAAGCUGAAUCUUUUAAAAAAUAUCUCCCAUGUCACUACUUAACAUGUUCAAUAUUUCCUCCAGCGUUUUGGACAUAAGGAAUAUAUUUAUAAUGAGUACUUGAAUGUCAUGUUCUCAUAAUUCUAGUAUCUGUGUCCAUUAUGCUUUAGCUUCAGUUGAGUUUUUUUCUCCUUAUAGUAGAUUGUAGUUCUCUGCUUCUUUGUAGGUCUAGUAAUUUUUGAUUGGAUGCCAGAUAUUAUAAAUUUUACCUUUUUGGCUGCUGGAUAUUUUUAUAGUUUUAUAAAGAUUCUUGAGCUUUGUUCUGGGAUGCAGUGAACUUUGCUUGGAACAGUUUAAUCCUUUCAGGGUUUGCUUUUGAGAAUUGUUGGGCAGAGACAGAACUGUCUUUAUUUCAGAGUUAAUUAUUCCUCAUUACUGAUGCAUGGUACUUUUGAGUCUCUACCACAUCGCUCAUGAAUUUAUAAUGUUUUCUCAUCUGAUUAGCAGAAACACACACUAAUCCUGGGCCUGCACAUGUUCUAGGUACUGUUUCCUUUAACUUUUUCAUGUAAUCCCUCACACACAUGCUCUGAUCAGUAUUCUCCUAAUUACUCAAAGGGAACAUUAUCAGAGCUCUCUCUCCCUCCCUCUCAACCUGUGCAGUUCUCUCCUCUCUGAUAUUCUUCCUUGCAUGCAUUUCAGGUAAAUUCUAGCUGCAUGGUCUUCUUCUGCUACUUUUCUGCUACUUUUUUUUUUCAAUACAGAGAACCCAUCAGGCUUCCCUGGGUUCAUUUCUUUUUUGUUUCCUGUCUUUAAGGGAUCACUUUCUUUGUUGCCUAGUGGAGCCUCUUGUAAACCGUGGUUUAUAUAUAUAUAUAUUUUUUAUUUUUCUAAAAUUGUUUCAGGAGUGCAGGUACAUACAGCCCCUGUUACUCCAUCUUGGUUAGAAGCAGAAGUUCCCAGAUCAUGCCCUUAGUCAUGGCCUUGAUGAAAGAAAUACUGGGGAAGAUGACUCCUUACAUCCAACCUCAGUUGGAAGGUCCGUUUGCCAUCUUCCCUUCUGGCCGAGUGGGCCAUAUAGGCCCUUGGCUCAGGUUGUGGUCUUAGGAGCUGGGCUUGGGGUAUAGAGCUGAAGAGCCCAGUCUUUCCUGUGGAGGGUGGAGAAGGGAAAUUGCUAUCUAUAUUCCAGAUAAAAGAGCAUCAGAACAUAGACAUUUUUUUUCCUCUAAAAAAUAUUUUCUGCAUUCUUCAAUUAAGUUGAAGAUUUCUUUAGGCUCUGGCUUUUUUAUUCAGUUCUCGUGAGUGAAAUCCUACUUUUCAUGCAGGAAUUCCAAUACAGAAGGAACUCUGGGUAGAUCAGAGGAUUAGUUGAUACAGGUGCAGAAGGUAUGGCAUGUGAAACAGCAAAGCUCAUUAGGAGAAACUUUUUAGAUAAACUUUGAACAGAAGACUCUUAUCAGGUUGAAGGCCUGGCCUGUGUUUUAAAAUUAUAACACACCUCUGUGAACUAAAAAAUCUAAUGGGCUUAGAGCAGUUUAAACAUUUAUCUCCUGUGUAAUCUAGCCUUUAAAAGCCUCUAAAGACCUUUUAUGCUAAUUGGCCUUCUGGGCCAUGUUAUUCAAGUUGAGAACUUUUACUUUAAAAAUCAUAUUUCUUUGUCAAACAGAAAAUCCUUAGACUCCAUGUUUGUGUCUUCUCCCUGUAUGCCUCAAGGCAAAUACAUCGAUAAAUGUCAUAAAUUCCUUGCCUUCCAGAAUGUUACUAGAGAUUUAUUAUUGGGAAGAACAGAAAUGGAUCUGAAGCCUCAAAUUCCAGGCUGUGAGUCUAUACACAGAACCAACAAAAUGUAUCAAAUGGAUGUGGGUGAUGAGGCCCAGGGAAGUUUGUUAGGUUUCUGGAACUGGAGGGAUCUGUGCUUCUUGAAGGGACAUAUCAGAAUGUCAGAGGGGCUGGAAGCCACAAAAUGAACACAACACUUUGUGAACCAUCAGUUUUAUGUGUUGCUAAACAUUUACAACAUUUUUAGAAAAUAAAAAGAUCUAUUAGGAUAUAAAAUGUAGAAUUUGCUGCAUUUUAGAUAAAAAUCAGACCUAGAAAAAAAUACUGGGCCUUAGGUCACCUUGGGUCACACCCUCAGAAUGCAGGUGGUGGAGGAGGUUCUGAUCAUUCUCCUGCAUGGAAUAGGGGUAUUUCAUUGGAAAACUUGAGAACCUUGCUCAAAAACUACAGUUACCCUACAAAGAGGAGGAGAGAGGAGCCCCUUUAUGGAAGGCCAGCAGCUGUGCAGUGGGCAUGGAGAGAAAUGUUGAUGGGCCGAGCCCAUGCAGACACCCCUGAGAACUACCAAAAUGGGGACAAGAUCAUUCUACUCACUCAUUCAUGUAUGCACCCAUCUCUCCCUCUCUUCCUCCCUCUCUUCCUUACUCUCUUCCUCCUUCCUUCUCCAUCCAUCUGUCUGUCCAUCCAUCCUUCCAUCCAUUUUAUGGGCCCUUAUAAAAUGCCUCCUCUGUAUCUAGGAUAGUAGUAGGUGAUGAAAAUGAAAAAGGAUAAGAAAUAGUCUGUGAUCCCAAAGAGUUUACUAUCUAGUGCAGGAUUUCUCAGAGUUCUUCCUGCUGUAACAAAUAUAAUUGUGGAAAUACUUGCUAAAUCUAUUGAGCAGUGCCAAACUGUUCAAAGCGAUUUACAUGAAAUAACUCAUUUAAUAUUUAUAAUAACUCUUUGGCUCAAGCACUGUUAUCAUUUCCACUACACAGCUGAGGAGCAGGUGGACUUUGUUCUCUGGGCUGAGAGUUAUUGUCUAGGGGGUUAAGUAUGUUUAUAAAUAAUUAUAAUGCUGUAAGUGUAAUUUGAAUACAAGAAUAAUAGGACCAGUUAUUUCUGAGGAAGUGUAGACCCCUGAUUCCAGAUGGAAGACCAACUGAGCAUGGCACCCCAACAUGGAAUUUCUUUCCUGCUAAUUAUCACAGAAUCACAGAAUCUGGGGCCUGCUACACGCAUACCUUGUUUUAUUGUUUUAUGCUUGCUUUAUUGCACUUUGCAGAUAAUGGUGUUUUUCACGUAUUGAAGGUUUGUGGCAGGCCUGCCUUGAGCAAAUUUAUCAGUACCAUUGUACCACUGUUCACUUCGAGUCUCUCUGUCUCAUACUGGUAAUUCUCACAGUAUUUUAAACUUUGUCAUUAUUAUUAUAUUUUUUAUGGUGAUCAGUAAUCUUUGAUGUUACUGUUGCAAAAAGAUGAUGACUCGCUGAAGGCUCAGAUGAUGGUUAACAACUUUUAGCAGUAUUUUUAAACUAAUGUAUGUAUAUUGGGUUUUUUUUUUUUUUGAGAUGAUGCUAUUGAACACUUAAUAGACUACAAUAUAUGCAUUGGGAAACCAAAAAAAUCAUGUGACUCACUUUAUUGCAAUAUUUGCUUUAUUAAGGUGGUCUGGAACCAAACCUACGAUAUCCCUGAGUUCUGCCUGACGAUAACUUUUCACAGCAUUUGGCGUGAGGUUUUGAACAACUUCAGUGGCAAAGCUCUCCCAACCUUACAAGGCAGCCCAUUCUGUCUUUGGUCAGCCUGAAUGGUGGGAAAUACAUGUAUUAUUAAAAUCUGCCUCGUGAUAAUGUCUGAAAAUCGGUCCUUGUCCUGUUCUUAGGGCAUCGUUUCUUAAUGUUCUGUGUACGGGGUGCUAAUAGGCAUCAUAUGGGGAAAUAAAAGAGAGAGUCACGUACAUAGUAGGUAUAGUAAGUAAAUUCUAACAAAGUUUUUUUUUUCUUAAUUAGAGAUUUUCUCAGAAUCUUUUGUAUGCUAAAGUUCUUUGUGCAUCUCAGAGAGGGAUUGCCUUUGUGGCAUUUUCCAAAUUUAUUCACCCAUGCAGCUCUCUUCUUGAUAGGUACCUAUUACUCCGUUGGUAACAGCUGGGGAAGUUAAGGCUCUGGUGUCCCUCCAUUAGACUUAGCAUGAUCCUUCUUUCCAGGCCAGCUUUUCAAAUGCUUGGGCAUGUGCUCCAAACAAAGCUUUCUUCAAACUAAACAUCUCUGUGUCUUUCAGCCUUCUUCAUAGUCAGGUUUUCAGACCUUUCUCCCUCUGGCCACCCUUCACUGGGCAGCUCUGAUCUGCCUAUGUCCCUCCUAAAGUGUGCAGUUCACAGCUGAGGAUAAUAGCUCUGUGUAGUCUUUGGGUUUGUCCCUUUGGAUACAGAACCCUUAAAACAUUGUCAUUGUGUUCUUUUAUUUCCAACCUGACAAGGGUGGGUUAAUCUGACUCUCAGCCCAGAAAUGAUGAAGGCAAGAGAAGCUUGUGGAAUUUGGAGCAGUUCAAGGAAGAAAUGGAAUAAUUUUUGUGUUUGAAGCUUUGAAAUGUCUUAAAUAAGCAACCAUUGGAGAGCCUACUAUGUGUAAGGCUCUGUGAAGGGUAGAAGAGAUGUAAGCCAUUUAGUCUAUCACUCAAAGAGCUGAUUGUUAAACUGGGAAGAUGAUUAACAGAAAAAGCAAAAAUAUAAGAUAGCAAAAGAAAAAAA